CCAGCCUUGGGCCUUAAGUGAGAAGUUUGCGACAUAACGCUCAGGGCGUGGUUCGGAGGUCUUCGGGUUGACCUUCUUCGCUAUUACGCAAUAUCCAGAGAGGAAGGAAAAAUAGAAGAGAUUGUGUGAGCAAGCCAGUAAGGAAUCUAGUGGGUGUCAUGGCACUUGCUCCUCUGAAUAAAACACUGCAAGGAGCAAAGCACAGCAAUGGAUUCCAGCAAACAUGAGUCUGUGUGCUUUUCUGCAAGUAGCAGCCACCUGCCUACUCUGAAAGGAAUGAGGACUCAACAGAACCCAAAGCAAGAUGAAGUUCCUUCUAUACAUUGUCUUUGCUGUUAGCUGGAAUUUUGUUGUAACAACUUAAUUAAAUAUGGGUGGUGGUUUAUGAGCCAGUGGUAUUAGACUAACAGAAGAAUAGCAGGCAUGAAAGCAGUGAUAGAGUUGCUGCAGCGAUAAUCUACAUAAAUAUUGAAUACCAUAUAUGUUGGGGGAGGUUGUUCAAAAAUACAAUACCAAUAAAUUCAGUUGUUUUUAAAAUACAGAUGUAGUCAUGUUUAGCUACAUUGAUUCUAAAGGAAUGUGACAAUAGCCAGACCAUCAUAAAAACAAAGCUGGAAACAGCAUGAUGUUUUGAAAAUUUGGCAAAAUAAUGAGAAUGUAGCCCUCAGAAACUUAAUGAAUUUCAGCUCUCAAAGCAUGUUAGAAAAUUCUGCAGAACAUGUAAGUUGUCAUUCUAAGGCAAACUUUUAAACUGGGUCAUGUUUGAAGAUAAAUGUUUGUUCAUACCAUAGGAUGUUUAUUUAAGAAUAUUAUGUUGCAUUUGACUAUUAUAGAGAUAGUUCUGCUUAAUGAGGGCUCUUUCCUGUGGAGUGCAGCUGUUAUUUUACUGUCGUAAACACAAUAUUGCAACGUCACAAUAGAAGGAAAUAAGAAACACAUUAGUCUCUUGCUUAAAUUUUUCUAAUAUUACGGGCUAGUGUUCUGCCUGUGCUCCAUUCUGCAUUUAAGUCCAUGGUAAGAUGUCAGUGGCUUAGCUGGAGAAAGAACUGAAAUUCCAGUGGAUGCUUCUAGUGUUUGUCUCCUUUUCAGUCAAGUACACUCUUGUAAGGCUUUCUCUCAAGCAGGGGCAAAAGAGGGAGGAACACAUACUUAACAGGAGUUGGUUACCUUUUAUGCCAGUAGAUAAAAUUCUUCUCAUGAAUUACAAGCAGAUUCUGUAUCUUUUCCUUUGGAGGAAAAAAAAGGCUGGAAAAUGGAAGCUGGCCCAGUGAGAUCAAAACUUCUUUCAUGAGGACAUUCUUAAAAGACCAGGCCCAUAAUGAAACUGUUUAUAGAAGUCAGUGAAUUACUUACUUCUGUAAUUUAUCUUUUAAAUUUUUUAGAAUAUAGAAAUUCUUUCUAGCUCAAGUUAUUUUAAUAGAAGCUAUUUGCUAAGAUAUAAAAAACACUUCACACUGUGUGUUUCUGCAGGAAAAGAUUUGUGAAAAGACUUUAUUUUGGAAAACUAUUGCUGUUGCUGAAAAGUUUGAUAUAUCUAAACUCAUGUGAAAAUUUGAACUUUGCUUAUUUUGACUUUAGAUUUAGAUUUCAUAAGAGAAGUGUUAGAUAAGAGCCAAAUAGAAUAGGAGAAUGGGGAUAAAAACUUUAAAAGAUGCGCUGUAUCUCUGAAAUGUUCGUGUGUAACAUUGUGAAAGAGUUUGUUUAUUUUAGUGACAAAAAUUAAGCAUGGCAGCAUUAGAAGCGCUACUAAGAGGAAUGCAGUAAUGUGAUAUGCACUGAACAAAUGCUUUGGAAGGCCUUUGUUUUCUGUCCCAGAUAUUUGCCACACUGUUUAAAACAUUUUCUGAAAGUAGUAUUCAACAGGCUUUCACAGUUCUUAGUGGAAAUCAGCCUAGCAGAGUACUCAGAAGAGUCAGUACGCUAACACACGCACCAUAAGGUAUCAAGAAAACAAAUUAGAGUCCUUUUGUAUAGCUGUAUGGCUCACAGUCUGGUUGGGAUCAUAGAAAUGUGACAAUAUGGCUCAUGGCCAAACUGCAGGUGACGACAGAUUUGGGCAGUUUAGGACAUGCUAGCCAGGACACUGAGGAGUGGGACUGGCAGAUAAUACUCAAAAAGAGCUCUGCCUGAGGACAAAAUCUCAGACCAACUGAGACAAGCAAACUAAUGAAGGCAACAUUACAAUAGAUGUCUGCUACAGUCCUCCAGGUCAGAAACAGGUAGAUGAGGCCCUUUUUGGAUACCCUGAGAAAAUCUUCUGCUAGUGGACAAUUGACCCUUUGGGGUCUUCAUCCUCCACAGAAAUAUUUAGAAGAGUGAUACAGUUGAGUGAAAGCAAUCCAGGAGGUUUCUAGGAUGCUGAUGACAACAACUUGGCACAGGUGAUCAGAGAAGGAACAGAUGGAGAAUGCCCUGUUGAGUCUGAUAGUUGCGAAGAUCUGGUCAGAAAUGUGAAACUUGCAGGUAGAAUUAGCUGCAGUAGUCAGGUGGAGUCUGGGAUCAUGGAGGAAGGGAAAAGGUCAAACGGUAGGGUUAUAACCCUGUACUUCAGGAAAUCGGACAAUGUUUGACCAACCUGUUAGUUAGCCUUUUGAAAAAUUGGCUUGGUGGACUAGGGGAGGGCAGCAUCAUAUAUUGUUUAUUUUGAUGUCAGCAAGGCUUUCAGCAUUCUUUCCUGUAAUAUCCUUUAUAGACAAACUGAUAAAGUAUGGACUGAUAAAUGAACAGUGAGAUGGACUGAAAACUGGCUGAACUUCAUGGUUCGAGGGAUUGUUACCAGCAGCGCAACAUUCAGCUGCAGUCCCAUUACUGGUGGCAUAUGUUGGGUUCAAUACUGGCAUCAGUACUAACCAAAAUGUUUUCAUUUAUUAUUCAGAUGGUGGGACAAGGUGCAUAGUUGAUAAACAAUUGAGAGGAGUGGUUGACAAACUGGACUAUGCAUGUCCAUCCUGUGGCCUGUGGGCUGCAUGCAGCCUGGCCAAGCCCAUCCUGCCCUAAACUGUCAUGGCAGCAACUCUGGGCCCAUUCCAACCUGGCUCCAGGAUCACACCCAUCACUCACCAACAGCCAAACAUCGGUGUGUGGCUGGCACUAUCUGAGCUGAAACCAAGGCACUGGGAGGGUGUAGAGCAAUGCCAACUCAAGCUACGG
Molecule: non-coding RNA, 3150 nt
Organism: Meleagris gallopavo (turkey)
Lineage: Eukaryota; Metazoa; Chordata; Aves; Galliformes; Phasianidae
Source: RefSeq, a predicted model, not a curated record